AAGACUAUACUUUCAGGGAUCAUUUCUAUAGUUCUUGACUUGAGAAAUGUGUUUCUAAAGUGUUUGGUCUCGCUAACCACGAUGAUGAGUUGGUGAUACUCUUUCCUGAGCGCGAAGCAGGUAGAAAGACUUGGUUUAUUCCUUAUGCUUUCUGCUCUUGAUGACCGUUCACUGUUCCCUUCGGGGUUCAGCGAGGGAAGGAGUAUGAUCAGAGUGGU
Small nucleolar RNA from Neogobius melanostomus (round goby), 218 nucleotides. Its record names the gene U3. It matches the Rfam family "Small nucleolar RNA U3". From Rfam's summary of the family: Small nucleolar RNAs (snoRNAs) are involved in the processing and modification of rRNA in the nucleolus. NCBI's taxonomy places the organism in Eukaryota, Metazoa, Chordata, Actinopteri, Gobiiformes, Gobiidae. The record is from Ensembl.